This is a long non-coding RNA of Hypanus sabinus (Atlantic stingray), 5252 nucleotides long. RefSeq lists it as uncharacterized. The transcript is spliced from 4 exons. The record is from RefSeq and is a predicted model, not a curated record. NCBI's taxonomy places the organism in Eukaryota, Metazoa, Chordata, Chondrichthyes, Myliobatiformes, Dasyatidae.
GACAUUUCUUUUAAUGAUACCACCCAGAUUUUCUAUCUUGUUGCUACAGCCCCAAUGUUCUGAAGCUCAGCCAGUAACUCUCCCCUUCUCCCUCUCAUGCUUUUCUCAUCGCAACUCACUGCACAGUAUGAGCACGCUUCAGUGGGAAAGCAUGCAUGGAAUUAGAUUUUAUAGCACACUUCUGGGAACUGUAGCGAUGCACUUCAUAACUGCACAGCCGUGAUGCAUCAACUUCAGGGCGUGGGAGAUAGUCCCCAUAGUUACUGCUGAUUUGAUUGUCAAGGCCAGCAACUGCUAAUUUAAUUUUACUUCUAAAAUUUGCCAUAAUAAAAUGUAAGCUCAUUUCAGACUUAGAAAAGGGGUAUCACCAAUUUGAGACACUAAAAUUUCAAUCAUACAGCAUGUGCUUUGGGACUGAAUGGAGGCAAAAAAUCAAUCAUUAAAUUUAUAGCACAUAAGGUAACUUAGAAUUGCAUGAUUACAUACACACAGCAUGUGUUUUUCACGAAGAUGGUUCAUGGGAGAUGCUAAUUCAUGUCCAAUGUCCAUUUGGCACACAGCUGGUAGCAUUGGAUUACAGAUUAUGGAAUUGCAGGCGGGAUGGCCAUACACUGGAAGUCAAGUUGGAGCAACGAUAGCAUGUAUGUUCUAGAUCUGUGCUGCUUUGGUUUCCUGGGUAGUCUUUCAGAGGAAGAGAAUUCUGAUCAUCGAGCUGAAGAAUACAGUUGGAAACACUGGAGUGAUUUUGGGUUGAUGAAGAGAGAACUGGAGUUAACAUUUCAGAUUGAUGGCUCUUGAUACAGAGAAAAACUGGAGAUCAAUAGGUUUAAAGACUUGGCAAAAGAGGCUGUUAAAGGGUCAGAUAAGAGAACAAAAAAUCAGACUGAUGCCAUAAAUGGAUGAAGCAGAAUUUUUACCUGAAGUUACUGAAAAAAAUAUUGUUAAUGCUGGACAUCAGAAAUAAGUGCUGAUUAUCUAACGUUGAACUCAUUGGUAAGUCCAGAGGGUUGUAAUAUACCAAGAAUGGAGAUAAAGUGACAUUCCUUGAUCUUAUGUUGAUCUUCACUGAAACAUCAUGGGAGGCUGAGGUCACAAUAGUCAUGCCAGAACUGCAGUGGAGGAUUACAAUGACAAGCAAUUGGAAGCUGAAAGUCACUACAGAUUGAACAGGAGGUACACAUUCUCCCUAAUCUGGAGGAGACCAUAUCAGGAGUAUCAAAGGGACAUAUAACAUUGCAGAGAAGGGAGAGUGAAAUAGAAUGGCCUUGGGAAAACAUUUCUCGCAGCUGCAAGCUCACUGUCUACUACAACCUCUGAACCUCUCUGGUGAAGGGAGAAUGAAUUGACCAUCCAACAGCAGAAGAACAACAUUGCAUCUAGAUGAAAUACCUAAUUAAACACCAGAACAUGGUGGAGAACCUCCUAUCUAGGAAGAAGAACUGUUGGAGCCCUUGAUUUGCAGUUUGAGGACCAUUUGAAUGUUCCAGUGAUCUGCAGUCUCUGACUAGAUUCCGGGAGGCAGAGAUGAUGAGUGCAGACAGGCUAAUGUCUGACUAAAUUUUGCCGAUUAAAGUGAUACGGAAGACAAAGUGACAUCGUGGUGAAUGCAGAAGGUGAGCGCUGGCUGCUUGCCUUCUGAUCGCUGGUGGGACUGCUCUGCUACAGAGGGGAGACUGCCUUUUGAUUGCUGGUGGGAUUGCUCUACUACGGAGAGCGAAAGGGCUGCUGCUGUCCCUGGAGAAUGUUACCCAACUUUUCUGCAUUUUGGAUAUGGACUCGGACUACAGACUUUUUUUCAGGCUUGUAGUUUUUUAUAUUCUGUGUUUUUCGUCCGACCUUCUCGUUUUAUUGUGUGUGGGGGGGCUCAAAGUGCCUGCUCCCUUUUUGUGCGGGGAGGAGGGAUUUGGGGGUUGAUAACCAUGGUGCCGUCCUUUUCUUUCUUGAUUGCGUGGCUAUCUGGAGAAGAAGAAAUUCAGAGUUGUAUAUUUUAAGAACACAUGAACCUUUGAUAUAUGGAGGCCGGGAACAAGGAGUGGAAGGAAUGCACCCAACUACCCUGGGAAGCACCAAGUGAAUGGGGCUCAGCUGUGGAAGAGCCCAUGGCUCCCACCGUUGCCUUAUCAGCUUCCUCGGGACCCACAGAAAUGCAGUGGACAGAGGUUUCCUUCAAUCUGCAAUUAUCUCCAGGUAAAAAGAGGCAACAGCAAAGUAACUUGCAAAGUUUCAAACCACUGAAACAUUGGAGACGGCUGAGACACUGCAACCAGCAUAAUUUUGGGUUUUAGAUAUUUCACAUGAGAAAUACCACAGAGAACUAAAUCUACCAGUAAUGAUUAAAAACAGAACAAGUGAAAUGAAGUGAUCCAAGGUUGUAAACUCAUUAAGAGAAGUAGGUGGCCAUGUAUUUGUUCUUUCUGAAAAAGCUAUAGGGAACUGCAAGUCACAAUCACAUGCUAAGAGUAACCUAAUGAGUAACUUUUAAUAGCUGAGAUUUGCUAAUAUGCCAAGCAGGCUAUACUCGAUAAAUUGAAUAAAGGCUGUGUUCAAAUAUUAAGUGAAAAGAAUGGAAAUCUUUGCAGUAGUAGAGGGUGUUAGGAUGAGAAUUCCUGACUACAAGCAGGGUGUGGCUAAAGAAGCUGCGACUGAUAGUGAAACUUUGGAAAGGAAUGAGGACAGGUUGCGUGGUAGGGAGAUUGCAUUGUGUAUUUGCUCAAUAAGCUGUUAGCAUACCUUGAAUUAUUGAUUUAAGCAAACCCAGUGAUAAAUGGGGAUUGGUGGUGUUAGUAAUUCACUCCUCUGAUUCACUGCCCAAAAUUGAUUCAUCACCCAGAAAUGCCUGCAUACAAUUGUGAAAGAGCUGAGCACUAUUUUUUCAAAGCCAGUGUUCACACAAACAUGAUAGCUGGCUUUGAGCUGAUGUCCUUUUCCUUCUGUAGGUAAUAUUGAUAAUGUGUGUCAUUCCCUCAUUCAAAGUACUCAGACUGUGAUCUGAGCCAGGAGCUUGUGGGAUCAGGUCCCACCCAGGAGCUGAGUGUUAAAAAUCACAGCAGUAUGAGGGAGUGUUGAACUAUUUGGAAGUGCCAUAUUUCUAAUGCUAAACUAAUCUGAAGUCUUAUUCACCUCUCAGGUGAUGUUAAAAAAUCUCCCGGGACUAUUUCAUGGAAGAGCCUAGAAAUCUGGUCUUUAUCCAUAAUAGCAAUCAAUCAAUCAAUAGCAAAAGGUUUACUUUGUCAAAAUCAGAAUGCUGCUAUUGUACCAAUGCAGACUGUAGAUUUCAAACAGUACAUUGCUAACUGUUUGUCAUAAGUACUUCAUUAGCUGCAGCACACUUAGGGACAUCUUAAUGGAUGUGAAAGUAAAUGGAUGUGAAAGUAAACGCAUGUUCCUUCUUUUCCUUUCAUGUGGCAAAGUCAAGAAUCACUUCUCGUUUGAAUCCAAAUUGGUGAGAAAAGCUUGCAGGCAGAUCCAUGAAAGAAAGAGAAGUUGGGGCUUUCAUUCAGUUUCCCAAAUAAAAAUGGAACUUGUAGAUGAUGUUCCUCACUAUUAUAACAGUCCUGUCUAUGAGGAAACGUUAUUUCAUUUCCUAAUAGCUUUAGCCCACUGUGAGGGCCUUCAGUCCCUUUAGUCAUUCAAAAUCAGCAUAGCUUAGCAAAGCUCCAUUGUGAGCCUGGCCCCUUGGGAAGUGAGCCACAACGCCCAAAAACUUGGAACAUGUGCCUGGUGUCUUUAGAAUCACUUUGCUUUGGAAUAAAGUGAAGGCAUUGAGUCUAUUUACCUGCUGUCCCAAUAGGAACUCAGCUGCCAAUUCACUAACUGGCCAUCUGUGACUCAAAAGAUAUUAAGUUACAAUCAGCAGAGCACAAAGGACAUUAAAUAAGAGAUGAGCAUCAAAACAUUUCUGUGGGAGGGAGCCACAAAAAUAGUUCCCAUCUUUACCAGAAGCAUUUCAACCUGGAGACGAGCUGUGGUGUGAAGGACUAAUUUCUCCAUCUCUGUAGUUUGCAGUCUCUGCUACUCCCCAGGGAAAUGUGUUUACUGUGUAGCAGGGUUUGUGAGUGAACUGCUAAGAAAUGGUGCUUUUUAAUUUAGAUUUAUUUUACACUGUCCCUCCCCCCCAACUCUUCACGCCUGUCUUUUCUUUCUCUUUAAACUUCUCUCUUUUUGCUGCACUCUAGACACUGUUCCGUUCUCCUUCCGAUAUUAAAAAAUAUAAAUGCUACCAGGAUACAGAAAACAUUUUCUUUUGGUUAACGUUUAACCUGAUAUUCGGAUUUUUUUUAAAUCCCGUUCUCCGACUUCUGAUACAUAGAACAAAUGCUAUAUUUCUACACCAUGUUACGUCAGCAGUUACAUCUUUUGAUAUGGCACUUUCAGUGUCUCAGUAGUUAGUAGUAUUAUGAAACAAAUUGGAUAUCAAAACUCAAGCGACAUCGGGUUGGAUUGCUUAACUUUUUUUUGCCAAUUGUUUUGUUAAUACCUCGGUUAGCUGGAAGUCAGAUACAGGUGUAUCUAGCCUCUCAUUUUAUUCUUGGAUCAGUAUGGAGUCCAGUUGGAAGUUCCAAGUCAUACUGGGCCAGAGGCUCAAUUUACCAGCCAUAGUCACAUAGCACAGUGCCAUUUCAUCAUUCAAUUGAAUAGGUUCAUCUUCAUUAGAAAGGUAAGUUUAUUAAUUUUUGUGAAUUGAGAGAUACGGCAUAUUAACAAGACUUUCCAACCAAUGAGACUGUGAUGCCCAAUUACACCCACGUAACCAAUUGACCUACUAACCCGUGCACCUUUGGAAUGUGGGUGGAAACCAGACCCACCACUCACUGAGAGAACAUACAAACUCAUCACAGACGGCGGCAGGGACCGAACCCGAGUUGCUGGUGCUGUGAUACCCCGCCACCCAAGGGAAGCUUUCUCCCUUUUCAUAAAUUAAUAUUGAGGUACAUAGAUUUUAAAAGAUUAUUUUCAAUUACUUUAAUGUACUUUAGUUCUUUCUAAAUGCCUCUGAUCGUCAGAAAUAUGUGGAAGCAGUGGAGAAGGCCUUUACAGCAUAAACUGUCCAAAGACCUGAGAAUUGGGCCUGGUCAUCUGCUGCCUGAGGCCAGACCACUCCAAAUGGCCACAGCAGUGACAUUUCCCGACAAUGAAAGCCAUGCAAUCACAAGUGCCAGGUAGAGAGCAAACACGAGGAAAUCUGCAGAUGCUGGAAACUCAAACAACAACACAAAAUGCUGGUGGAACACAGCAGGCCAGGCAGCAUCUAU